Molecule: ribosomal RNA, 2430 nt
Filed under: Shigella sonnei
Lineage: Bacteria; Pseudomonadati; Pseudomonadota; Gammaproteobacteria; Enterobacterales; Enterobacteriaceae
Description: partial 23S ribosomal RNA
Rfam family: Bacterial large subunit ribosomal RNA
Source: RNAcentral
GAAUAUGGGGGGCCCAUCCUCCAAGGCUAAAUACUCCUGACUGACCGAUAGUGAACCAGUACCGUGAGGGAAAGGCGAAAAGAACCCCGGCGAGGGGAGUGAAAAAGAACCUGAAACCGUGUACGUACAAGCAGUGGGAGCACGCUUAGGCGUGUGACUGCGUACCUUUUGUAUAAUGGGUCAGCGACUUAUAUUCUGUAGCAAGGUUAACCGAAUAGGGGAGCCGAAGGGAAACCGAGUCUUAACUGGGCGUUAAGUUGCAGGGUAUAGACCCGAAACCCGGUGAUCUAGCCAUGGGCAGGUUGAAGGUUGGGUAACACUAACUGGAGGACCGAACCGACUAAUGUUGAAAAAUUAGCGGAUGACUUGUGGCUGGGGGUGAAAGGCCAAUCAAACCGGGAGAUAGCUGGUUCUCCCCGAAAGCUAUUUAGGUAGCGCCUCGUGAAUUCAUCUCCGGGGGUAGAGCACUGUUUCGGCAAGGGGGUCAUCCCGACUUACCAACCCGAUGCAAACUGCGAAUACCGGAGAAUGUUAUCACGGGAGACACACGGCGGGUGCUAACGUCCGUCGUGAAGAGGGAAACAACCCAGACCGCCAGCUAAGGUCCCAAAGUCAUGGUUAAGUGGGAAACGAUGUGGGAAGGCCCAGACAGCCAGGAUGUUGGCUUAGAAGCAGCCAUCAUUUAAAGAAAGCGUAAUAGCUCACUGGUCGAGUCGGCCUGCGCGGAAGAUGUAACGGGGCUAAACCAUGCACCGAAGCUGCGGCAGCGACGCUUAUGCGUUGUUGGGUAGGGGAGCGUUCUGUAAGCCUGCGAAGGUGUGCUGUGAGGCAUGCUGGAGGUAUCAGAAGUGCGAAUGCUGACAUAAGUAACGAUAAAGCGGGUGAAAAGCCCGCUCGCCGGAAGACCAAGGGUUCCUGUCCAACGUUAAUCGGGGCAGGGUGAGUCGACCCCUAAGGCGAGGCCGAAAGGCGUAGUCGAUGGGAAACAGGUUAAUAUUCCUGUACUUGGUGUUACUGCGAAGGGGGGACGGAGAAGGCUAUGUUGGCCGGGCGACGGUUGUCCCGGUUUAAGCGUGUAGGCUGGUUUUCCAGGCAAAUCCGGAAAAUCAAGGCUGAGGCGUGAUGACGAGGCACUACGGUGCUGAAGCAACAAAUGCCCUGCUUCCAGGAAAAGCCUCUAAGCAUCAGGUAACAUCAAAUCGUACCCCAAACCGACACAGGUGGUCAGGUAGAGAAUACCAAGGCGCUUGAGAGAACUCGGGUGAAGGAACUAGGCAAAAUGGUGCCGUAACUUCGGGAGAAGGCACGCUGAUAUGUAGGUGAAGUCCCUUGCGGAUGGAGCUGAAAUCAGUCGAAGAUACCAGCUGGCUGCAACUGUUUAUUAAAAACACAGCACUGUGCAAACACGAAAGUGGACGUAUACGGUGUGACGCCUGCCCGGUGCCGGAAGGUUAAUUGAUGGGGUCAGCGCAAGCGAAGCUCUUGAUCGAAGCCCCGGUAAACGGCGGCCGUAACUAUAACGGUCCUAAGGUAGCGAAAUUCCUUGUCGGGUAAGUUCCGACCUGCACGAAUGGCGUAAUGAUGGCCAGGCUGUCUCCACCCGAGACUCAGUGAAAUUGAACUCGCUGUGAAGAUGCAGUGUACCCGCGGCAAGACGGAAAGACCCCGUGAACCUUUACUAUAGCUUGACACUGAACAUUGAGCCUUGAUGUGUAGGAUAGGUGGGAGGCUUUGAAGUGUGGACGCCAGUCUGCAUGGAGCCGGCCUUGAAAUACCACCCUUUAAUGUUUGAUGUUCUAACGUGGACCCGUGAUCCGGGUUGCGGACAGUGUCUGGUGGGUAGUUUGACUGGGGCGGUCUCCUCCUAAAGAGUAACGGAGGAGCACGAAGGUUGGCUAAUCCUGGUCGGACAUCAGGAGGUUAGUGCAAUGGCAUAAGCCAGCUUGACUGCGAGCGUGACGGCGCGAGCAGGUGCGAAAGCAGGUCAUAGUGAUCCGGUGGUUCUGAAUGGAAGGGCCAUCGCUCAACGGAUAAAAGGUACUCCGGGGAUAACAGGCUGAUACCGCCCAAGAGUUCAUAUCGACGGCGGUGUUUGGCACCUCGAUGUCGGCUCAUCACAUCCUGGGGCUGAAGUAGGUCCCAAGGGUAUGGCUGUUCGCCAUUUAAAGUGGUACGCGAGCUGGGUUUAGAACGUCGUGAGACAGUUCGGUCCCUAUCUGCCGUGGGCGCUGGAGAACUGAGGGGGGCUGCUCCUAGUACGAGAGGACCGGAGUGGACGCAUCACUGGUGUUCGGGUUGUCAUGCCAAUGGCACUGCCCGGUAGCUAAAUGCGGAAGAGAUAAGUGCUGAAAGCAUCUAAGCACGAAACUUGCCCCGAGAUGAGUUCUCCCUGACCCUUUAAGGGUCCUGAAGGAACGUUGAAGACGACGA